GCAUAUCAAUAAGCGGAGGAAAAGAAACUAACAAGGAUUCCCCUAGUAACUGCGAGUGAAGCGGGAAAAGCUCAAAUUUAAAAUCUGGUGGUCUUUGGCCAUCCGAGUUGUAAUCUAGAGAAGUGUUACCCGCGUCGGACCGUGUACAAGUCUCCUGGAAUGGAGCGUCAUAGAGGGUGAGAAUCCCGUCUUUGACACGGACUACCGAGGCUUUGUGGUGCGCUCUCAACGAGUCGAGUUGUUUGGGAAUGCAGCUCAAAAUGGGUGGUAAAUUCCAUCUAAAGCUAAAUAUUGGCGAGAGACCGAUAGCGAACAAGUACCGUGAGGGAAAGAUGAAAAGAACUUUGGAAAGAGAGUUAAACAGUACGUGAAAUUGCUGAAAGGGAAACGCUUGAAGUCAGUCGCGUUGGCCGGAAAUCAGCCUUGCUUUUGCUGGGUGUACUUUCUGGUUGACGGGCCAGCAUCAGUUUUGACCGGUGGAAAAAGUUCAAGGGAAUGUGGCAUCUUCGGAUGUGUUAUAGCCCUUGUUCGUAUACAUCGGUUGGGACUGAGGAACUCAGCACGCCGAAAGGCCGGGUCUUUGACCACGUUCGUGCUUAGGAUGCUGGCAUAAUGGCUUUAAUCGACCCGUCUUGAAACACGGACCAAGGAGUCUAACAUGCCUGCGAGUGUUUGGGUGGAAAACCCGGACGCGUAAUGAAAGUGAAAGUCGAGAUCCCUGUCAUGGGGAGCAUCGACGCCCGGACCAGAAGUUUUCUGACGGCCCUGCGGUAGAGCAUGUAUGUUGGGACCCGAAAGAUGGUGAACUAUGCCUGAAUAGGGUGAAGCCAGAGGAAACUCUGGUGGAGGCUCGUAGCGAUUCUGACGUGCAAAUCGAUCGUCAAAUUUGGGUAUAGGGGCGAAAGACUAAUCGAACCAUCUAGUAGCUGGUUCCUGCCGAA
Molecule: ribosomal RNA, 941 nt
Filed under: Psathyrella sp. 'pseudobifrons'
Lineage: Eukaryota; Fungi; Basidiomycota; Agaricomycetes; Agaricales; Psathyrellaceae
Description: LSU rRNA
Rfam family: Eukaryotic large subunit ribosomal RNA
Source: RNAcentral